Molecule: ribosomal RNA, 496 nt
Filed under: uncultured bacterium
Lineage: Bacteria
Description: partial 16S ribosomal RNA
Rfam family: Bacterial small subunit ribosomal RNA
Source: RNAcentral
AUUGAACGCUGGCGGAAUGCUUUACACAUGCAAGUCGAACGGUAGAGGGGGCAACCCCUCGAGAGUGGCGAACGGGUGAGUAAUAUAUCGGAACGUGCCCAGUCGUGGGGGAUAACGUAGCGAAAGUUACGCUAAUACCGCAUACGAUCGAAGGAUGAAAGCGGGGGAUCGCAAGACCUCGCGGGAUUGGAGCGGCCGAUAUCAGAUUAGGUAGUUGGUGGGGUAAAGGCUCACCAAGCCAACGAUCUGUAGCUGGUCUGAGAGGACGACCAGCCACACUGGAACUGAGACACGGUCCAGACUCCUACGGGAGGCAGCAGUGGGGAAUUUUGGACAAUGGACGCAAGUCUGAUCCAGCCAUUCCGCGUGCAGGAUGAAGGCCCUCGGGUUAUAAACUGCUUUUGUACGGAACGAAAAGGUCUCUCUUAAUACGGGGGGCUCAUGACGGUACCGUAGGAAUAAGCACCGGCUAACUACGUGCCAGCCGCCGCGGUAA